RNAcentral lists this ribosomal RNA (455 nucleotides) under uncultured bacterium. RNAcentral's name for it is "bacterial SSU rRNA". It matches the Rfam family "Bacterial small subunit ribosomal RNA", at positions 64 to 507 of the family's 1533-position model. The record is from RNAcentral.
GAAUGGUAACAGGAAACAGCUUGCUGUUUCGCUGACGAGUGGCGGACGGGUGAGUAAUGUCUGGGAAACUGCCUGAUGGAGGGGGAUAACUACUGGAAACGGUAGCUAAUACCGCAUAACGUCGCAAGACCAAAGAGGGGGACCUUCGGGCCUCUUGCCAUCAGAUGUGCCCAGAUGGGAUUAGCUAGUAGGUGGGGUAACGGCUCACCUAGGCGACGAUCCCUAGCUGGUCUGAGAGGAUGACCAGCCACACUGGAACUGAGACACGGUCCAGACUCCUACGGGAGGCAGCAGUGGGGAAUAUUGCACAAUGGGCGCAAGCCUGAUGCAGCCAUGCCGCGUGUAUGAAGAAGGCCUUCGGGUUGUAAAGUACUUUCAGCGGGGAGGAAGGGAGUAAAGUUAAUACCUUUGCUCAUUGACGUUACCCGCAGAAGAAGCACCGUGCUAACUCCGUG